This 326-nucleotide long non-coding RNA is filed under the name Zonotrichia albicollis (white-throated sparrow). Its description in RNAcentral is "lncRNA (ENSZALG00000009153.1)". Lineage: Eukaryota; Metazoa; Chordata; Aves; Passeriformes; Passerellidae. The record is from RNAcentral.
GGAGCUCUUUGUGACCUUCUAGAGGUCUUUUGGUCUUUUUGGAGCUCUUCAUGACCUUCUAGAGGUCUUUUUGUCCUUUUGAAGGCUCCUUUUGGAGCUCUUUUGGUGUUUCUGGAGCUCCUUUUGAUCUUAUGGAACUCUGAGUUUUUGGAGCUCUUUAUGACCUUCUAGAGGUCUUUUUGGAGCUCUUUAUGACCUUCUAGAGGUCUUUUUUUUUUUUUUUGGAGUUCUUUUUGACCUUUCUGGAGCUCUUUUGGUCUUUCUGGAGCUCUUUCUGAUCUUUUGGAGGUAUUUUUGACCUUUUUGGAGCUCUUUUUGAUCUUUUU